AGCUUUGCGCAGUGGCAGUAUCGUAGCCAAUGAGGUUUAUCCAAGGCGCGAUUAUUGCUAAUUGAAAAAUCCCACUG
This 77-nucleotide small nuclear RNA is filed under the name Canis lupus familiaris (dog). RNAcentral describes it as "U4 spliceosomal RNA". It matches the Rfam family "U4 spliceosomal RNA", at positions 1 to 77 of the family's 138-position model. Rfam says of the family: U4 small nuclear RNA (U4 snRNA) is a component of the major U2-dependent spliceosome. The structure of U4 snRNA from yeast and human has been reported. RNAcentral also lists the same sequence under 1 other name. The record is from Rfam by way of RNAcentral. Lineage: Eukaryota; Metazoa; Chordata; Mammalia; Carnivora; Canidae.